CCGGUUUUCUAUUAUGUUUCUCUUUUUUAGUUUUUCUUACACUUUACAUGAUAUUGUAUCUCAAGUGCUUAACCAGAAGAAACCAAAUAUGAACCCUUGUGGGAUUUCUCUGAAACAAGAGAGCAUUGAGAUAGCAAUAACAAAGUAAGAUCAACAAGAAUUUGAAAGGAUUUAACAUUUAAAUAAACACCCAGAAUUUAUUUUCCAGGUAAUGAAUCAAAAAUCAAGCUAAUCCCCUAGUAAUUUGAUUAAAAAUAAUCCUUUUUAACACAUAACUCCAACAUAAACAGAAAAAAAUUGAACUUAAGAGAACAUAGGAACAAGAAGCUGAAAAAGAAUCACCACCAACCAUAGACAACUUGUAUGUAUUUAUGUUUAAGCCAUCUAAAGCUCCUUUUCAAAGACCCUUUCACCUUACUUUCUGCACUGUACAUCUUGUAGGUAGCAACCCUUUUUUUCCUUUGGAAUUCAAGCUCACCAAAGUUCCAUGGCUUUGAACAAUUCCCAUUGUUGGGGUAAUAGUUGUCAGCCAUGUGGGACUGUGAAUAUGGAGCAGUAUAGCACCACAAAUCAUAAUUAGAAGCUGGUGGUGGUGGUUCAUGGUAGGUUUCAAGCUGCAUCAUCAUCCCAUUACCAUAGGAUCUUGAGCUCUUGUAAUCUGCCAUUGGAUUUGUUUUAGGCUAUUCAAGACUGAUUUGGUAGAUGAGUGUUCCUUUGUAAAGGAAGAACAAAGAAUAAAGAGUAG
RNAcentral lists this long non-coding RNA (745 nucleotides) under Gossypium raimondii (Peruvian cotton). RNAcentral's name for it is "long non-coding RNA (GRAI_LNC000020)". The record is from RNAcentral. Lineage: Eukaryota; Viridiplantae; Streptophyta; Magnoliopsida; Malvales; Malvaceae.